This 427-nucleotide ribosomal RNA is filed under the name uncultured bacterium. RNAcentral describes it as "bacterial SSU rRNA". It matches the Rfam family "Bacterial small subunit ribosomal RNA", at positions 355 to 774 of the family's 1533-position model. The record is from RNAcentral. RNAcentral also lists the same sequence under 1 other name.
UGGGGAAUUUUGGACAAUGGGCGAAAGCCUGAUCCAGCCAUGCCGCGUGCAGGAUGAAGGCCUUCGGGUUGUAAACUGCUUUUGUACGGAACGAAAAGUCUCUUUCUAAUAAAGAGGGAUCAUGACGGUACCGUAAGAAUAAGCACCGGCUAACUACGUGCCAGCAGCCGCGGUAAUACGUAGGGUGCAAGCGUUAAUCGGAAUUACUGGGCGUAAAGCGUGCGCAGGCGGUUAUAUAAGACAGUUGUGAAAUCCCCGGGCUCAACCUGGGAACUGCAUCUGUGACUGUAUAGCUAGAGUACGGUAGAGGGGGAUGGAAUUCCGCGUGUAGCAGUGAAAUGCGUAGAUAUGCGGAGGAACACCGAUGGCGAAGGCAAUCCCCUGGACCUGUACUGACGCUCAUGCACGAAAGCGUGGGGAGCAAACA